CCACCCUUUAAUGUUUGAUGUUCUAACGUGGACCCGUAAUCCGGGUUGCGGACAGUGUCUGGUGGGUAGUUUGACUGGGGCGGUCUCCUCCUAAAGAGUAACGGAGGAGCACGAAGGUUGGCUAAUCCUGGUCGGACAUCAGGAGGUUAGUGCAAUGGCAUAAGCCAGCUUGACUGCGAGCGUGACGGCGCGAGCAGGUGCGAAAGCAGGUCAUAGUGAUCCGGUGGUUCUGAAUGGAAGGGCCAUCGCUCAACGGAUAAAAGGUACUCCGGGGAUAACAGGCUGAUACCGCCCAAGAGUUCAUAUCGACGGCGGUGUUUGGCACCUCGAUGUCGGCUCAUCACAUCCUGGGGCUGAAGUAGGUCCCAAGGGUAUGGCUGUUCGCCAUUUAAAGUGGUACGCGAGCUGGGUUUAGAACGUCGUGAGACAGUUCGGUCCCUAUCUGCCGUGGGCGCUGGAGAAUUGAGGGGGGCUGCUCCUAGUACGAGAGGACCGGAGUGGACGCAUCACUGGUGUUCGGGUUGUCAUGCCAAUGGCACUGCCCGGUAGCUAAAUGCGGAAGAGAUAAGUGCUGAAAGCAUCUAAGCACGAAACUUGCCCCGAGAUGAGUUCUCCCUGACUCCUUGAGAGUCCUGAAGGAACGUUGAAGACGACGACGUUGAUAGGCCGGGUGUGUAAGCGCAGCGAUGCGUUGAGCUAACCGGUACUAAUGAACCGUGAGGCUUAACCUUACAACGCCGAAG
This 743-nucleotide ribosomal RNA is filed under the name Escherichia coli. RNAcentral describes it as "bacterial LSU rRNA". It matches the Rfam family "Bacterial large subunit ribosomal RNA", at positions 2200 to 2925 of the family's 2925-position model. The record is from RNAcentral. Lineage: Bacteria; Pseudomonadati; Pseudomonadota; Gammaproteobacteria; Enterobacterales; Enterobacteriaceae.